Molecule: long non-coding RNA, 2183 nt
Organism: Columba livia (rock pigeon)
Lineage: Eukaryota; Metazoa; Chordata; Aves; Columbiformes; Columbidae
Exons: 3
Source: RefSeq, a predicted model, not a curated record
GUUGCACAACAGCAUUGACCCGGCCCUGUGAUAGAGGCAUUUGAAUAAUUUAAGUGAUUUUCUCCUCAGUGGGGCAAGAGCCAACCACAGCAGGUAGGGGAUGGAGGGUAGGACAUGCAGGGUUGUCCCCCAUAGACACUGGUGCAGGAAACACCGUUCCAGAUUCAGCCUUCGCCCCCCCAAAUUUGUUUACGCGGCACCUCGUGACUUUAAUUAUACUUAAAAGCAGGGUUGCAAUAUAAAGCGAGGAUAUAAUUUAUGGUCCAGGAGACACCUUGGGCAGGAAGACAACCUGAAGUGCCACCCAGCCAGCAGAGCGCUGAGCAGUGCAGAAGGUAAUAAACUCCGGAGGAAGCUCUGAGGACACCAGCCCACAUCUGGGCUUACACAGAAUGAAGAAAUUGACAGGAAAAAGAAGCUGCCGUGAUGAAAGUCACCUUAAGCCAUCCGUGUUCUGCGGGGGAUGGAAAGCAAAAGUUCCUCGUGUUCUCAACAUCUCCGAUAAACCCGGUGCCAGAGAGUCCAAAGUUUGUUAAAUCCACAAAUGUAACUCGCCGGGAUGGGAGGAACUUGUGCAACCCGCAGCCGGUGUGGGAACGGGUUGUGCGGGGCGAGGACACCCCGAGGAGCGGCGGCCAAGGUGAGGGGAACGGAGACGGGGCUGCCCGGCCGCCCCCCUGUGCCAAAUCGCUCCGUCAGCAUCGCUGCAUCGUCCUCAUCCCGCCGCUCCGGGGGGCGGGAGGGGCCCAUCUCCCUGGGACCCCCGGCACCACCCCUGUGCCGACAGACCCGGCAGCUCCGCGGGACCCCCGUCAGUUUCCCGAAGCCAGGACCGACAAUGCAAGACCCUCGGCAGGUCCCCACUCGCGGGAUCCCCCGCAGGUUGCCGGUGUCGGGAUCCCCGGCAGCUCCGGCCCCUCAGGACCCCCGACAUCUUCCCGGGACUCUCCGCAGACGCCCGGGGUAGAUCCCUCUGCAGCUCCCGGGAGCCCCGACGGGUCCCGGGACCCCCCCGCACCUCUCCGCUCCCGGGACCCCUGACAGCUCCACGACCCCAGGACCCCCUCAGGCUCCCGGUGUUAACCCCAGGCUCACUAGUGGCCAUAUGGUUUGGUUUCUGUCGUAUUAAUGGUAAAAUCCUGAGCGCAAGCGAGCUGCCCAUGAAGCUCACCAGUGGAAAAUAAGACUUGGGGACACCGGAGCAGCAUCCCCACAGCUGAUGUGUCACAGGGAUGCUGGCAAUGCCACCAGCACUGUCACUGCUCAGCAGCCACCAGCUUUGCACCCGGGAAACCCCUGGUUGAAUUCCCAGGAGAUUCGUGCUCAAUGGAAAAACGUUACCCUUCCCUUUUUCCUUUCCUUCCUAAAUCUGGUUUAAGCUGUUUUCAGACCAAAGAGGUGACAUCAAAUGUGAUGGAGGGGAAGGAGGUGGUGGAGGAAGGCCUGGGGAGGUGGGGGACAAGUGACAGCUGCACGUCCUGGACACAACAGCCCAGGGAUGGGGAAACUCAUUUCAAAGUGCCCAAAUCACCCGUUUUAGAAACCUCUGAUCCCUGGCAGCUCUCAGUGAGAAAUGCGGAGAAUUAUAGAGAAAAAAGGGCUUCUGCCAGGGUGAAAGAGCUCAAAACCAUGGGGACAGCCAAGGAGGGAUGUGCUGAUGGGUUUCUUUCAUCCAGCAUCCCUUCCAAGCGCUGAAGACAGAAGCAAAAGGGAUUUAAAUUGGAGAUUAGAGAGGCUGCCCGACUGCAGUGAUGCACUCGGAGUAUAGAGAGCGGAGCAUCCCCAGCGCCAGAGGUUUUAGCUGUAAUUACACCAACAUCUGUCCAGCGAUGGUCGGGACUUGCGUAGUCACUGCGCAGCUCCAGGCUGGGCUGGAGUUCUCCCACAGGCUCCUUCUGCUCUGCUUUUCUGUGAUUUCAGAGAAAUCUGGAUUUUCUUUUUUUUUCUAUCCAAUGUGUUCUUUCUCUCCAGAAAGAUUAAAUCUCGACUGUCAGGAACUGGCGUAGCGGGUGAGAAGAUUUCCCAGACUAGUCAAAAUGUCAUCCUGCUCAGGUGAUGUCCCCAAGAACCCAGCUGUGGCCAGCAUAGGAUGAGACCCCCCACACUGUGUUUUCACUCCCCAACAAACCCCACUGCACUGGGGGGAGCAACACACGGGGAGAGAGAUGCGCCUGGGGGUGGAG